CUACAGUAUUACAAGAAAAAGUGACUUUGUCUUUCAGGAAGGAGAUUUUUUAUGGACUGAUGGCUCAGACGUUAAUUUCGUUGACUGGGCUCCUGGCAGGCCAAGAACAACGGAUACAAAUCAAGACUGUGCAGAGAUCAACUUUCAAGGUGAAUUAUGGAACGAUCGACCGUGUGGUCGUCGACGAUCUUUUGUUUGUGCCAAGGACUUGAAAAACUUCUAAGACAAUCAGGACCCCCCCUUCAUCAUUGUUCCUUUGCAACGUGCUUUUCACUAUUACAAAGAAUCUUGGUGGCAAGCAAUCAGUUGUUCAAAAUUGUUCUUUUACAUAGUAAAAAACACUGGUACAACCAACUUGGACACUCAAACCAUAUCCGAUGAAUAAAUCAAUCUCUUUGAGCAGGUG
Hippocampus comes (tiger tail seahorse) is the source of this 406-nucleotide long non-coding RNA. RefSeq lists it as uncharacterized. The transcript is spliced from 2 exons. The record is from RefSeq and is a predicted model, not a curated record. NCBI's taxonomy places the organism in Eukaryota, Metazoa, Chordata, Actinopteri, Syngnathiformes, Syngnathidae.